RNAcentral lists this ribosomal RNA (490 nucleotides) under uncultured bacterium. RNAcentral describes it as "partial 16S ribosomal RNA". It matches the Rfam family "Bacterial small subunit ribosomal RNA", at positions 29 to 507 of the family's 1533-position model. The record is from RNAcentral.
AGUGAACGCUGGCGGUAGGCCUAACACAUGCAAGUCGAACGGCAGCACAGUAAGAGCUUGCUCUUACGGGUGGCGAGUGGCGGACGGGAGGAAUACAUCGGAAUCUACUUUUUCGUGGGGGAUAACGUAGGGAAACUUACGCUAAUACCGCAUACGACCUACGGGUGAAAGCAGGGGAUCUUCGGACCUUGCGCGAUUGAAUGAGCCGAUGUCGGGUUAGCUAGUUGGCGGGGUAAAGGCCCACCAAGGCGACGAUCCGUAGCUGGUCUGAGAGGAUGAUCAGCCACACUGGAACUGAGACACGGUCCAGACUCCUACGGGAGGCAGCAGUGGGGAAUAUUGGACAAUGGGCGCAAGCCUGAUCCAGCCAUACCGCGUGGGUGAAGAAGGCCUUCGGGUUGUAAAGCCCUUUUGUUGGGAAAGAAAAGCAGCAGGUUAAUACCCCGCUGUUCUGACGGUACCCAAAGAAUAAGCACCGGCUAACUUCGUG